Molecule: ribosomal RNA, 23 nt
Filed under: Puccinia boroniae
Lineage: Eukaryota; Fungi; Basidiomycota; Pucciniomycetes; Pucciniales; Pucciniaceae
Description: partial 18S ribosomal RNA
Source: RNAcentral
GGUGAACCUGCAGAAGGAUCAUU